CAUAUCCCCAUCCCCAUCCCGUGCAAGGUAAGGAUGAAGGACUGAGCAGGGGGACGGGGAUGGGGGGGGGUCCGGGCGGCCCGGUAGGGCUGCCCGGACCACCCCCCCAUCCCCGUCCCCCUGCAGAAGACCCCCACCCAUCACCCCCACAUCCCCAUAUCCUCAUCCCCAUCCCGAGCAAGGUAAGGAUGAACUACGUAAAAAUGAAUCAAAUCCUUAGGAAUUCUUGCACAGGUGUUAACACACACCUGUUGGGAGCCGCCACGGCUUUGCUCUGAUCCCACUUUAAGCAGGAGGCAAUUAGUUCGCCGGGCUGAUGCUGCUGGAGUUCUGCCAGCACAGUGUUUUUCCACUAUUGUGAGGCCUCCCACUGCCAGUCCCUCAGUGGACUGUGCCUCCUGCAAACACACACAUGCCCAAGAUUUGGCACAGCCGUACGUGGAGCUGGGAUUUGUAGCCAGUGAUUCAGGCAGAACAUUCCGGUGGCAGAGGGGGAGCUGCAGGCAGAGUCAGCUGUGGUGACAACCUGUGAUCCAGUUGCAGAGGUCAGGCUGUCACUGCUGUCUCUGGGACUCCUGUCUCCCCCCCGUUGCUCUGCUCCUGCCGCAGUGGCCAUGUCUGGCAGCAGGAGGUGGUGGGGACAAGGACCCCGGCGGGGUGAGCCAGCCCUGCCGGGGGAUCCCUGCUGGUCCAGCAGGGCUGAGGACACAGAGUCACCUCAGAGAAGCUGCCACGCACAUGUGUGUUAGCACAGCUCCACAGUGUUGGUUUUGCAAAAUAUUUAUUGCAAAAUAAAAGUAAAUAUGGCAACAAAACUUAAAUAGCAAAUGACGUGACACUGGCCAUAAAGCUCUUGCUAUAUUAUGAGUCUUUUACAAUAAUCAAUAUUGUCAAGUGUGUCUCCCAGGGCAGCUGCACGGGGACAGCCCGAGUCUGUUGCUGUGUCACUGGCUCCAGCUGUCUGGGAUCUGUGAGAAUUGUGCCUCCUGCUCACACCUGUACCUGGCCAGAUCCCCCUGCACCAGACAGGAGUCACACAGGAGUACCUUCCAUGCUCCCUGAAACCUGCUGGGUUGUACCCCAGCCCCUCCUCCUCUUUUUCCUUUUAAAGCCGCUGCAGCUGACCCACUGCCCAUCCCCUUCCAUAAUGGAAUGGAGAAACAUUGCUGAAGUACCUACUGCUCCUGCUUUGAGUCACAGCUUCUUCUGAAAGGUUGCUUGGAUUUCUUUCCCUUCCCACCUACUAGGAAAAGACAGGCAGCCUUGGAGGAGAGACUGUUGGAGCAGCCAGGGAUCAGGUUAGGAAAGCUAAAGCCUGAUAGAAUUAAACCUGGCCAGGGACGUCAAGGGCAACAAGCAAAGCCUCUACAGGUACAUCGGUGAUAAAAGGGAGAGUAGAGAAAAUGUGGGCCCUCUCCAGAAGGAAACGAGAGACCUGGUUCCCCAGGACAUGGAGAAGGCUGGGAUGGAUACUCAGCGACAUUUGUCUCAACCUUCAUGGCAAGUGCUCCAGCCACAGCACCUGAGCCACAGGAGGCAAAGGCAGGGAGUGGGAGAAGGAAGAACUGCCCACCGUGGGAGAGGAUCAGGGUCGAGAAGGUCUAAGGGACCUGAAGGGGCACAAGUCCAUGGGACCUAACGAGAUGCACCCAUGGGUCCAGAGGGAACUGGCAGAGGAAGUGGCUCAGCCACUAUCCAUCAUAUUUGAGAAGUCAUGGCAGUCCAGUGAAGUUCUCAUGGAGUGCAAAAGGGGAAGCAUAACCCCCCUUUUUUAAAAAGGGGAGUAAGGAAGACCCAGGGAACUACAGGCUGGUAAGUCUCACCUCGGUGCCCAGCAGAGCAUGGAGCAGAUCCUCCUGGAAACUAUGCUAAGGCACAUGGAAAAUAAGGAGGUGAUUGGUGACAGCCAACAUGGCCUUACUAAGGGCAAAUCAUGAGAACCUGGAGCCCCUUCCAGCGCCUAUAGGUGCUACAAGAGAGCAGGAGAGGGACUUUGGACAAGGGCCUGGAAUGACAGGACAAGGCAGAAUGGCUUCCCACUGCCAGAGGGAAGGGUUAUAUGGGAUAUUGGGAAGAAAUUCUUCCCUGUAAGGGUGGGGAGGCCCUGGCACAGGUUGCCCAGAGAAGCUGUGGCUGCCCCAUCCCUGGAAGUGUCCAAAGCCAGGCUGUACAGGGCUUGGAGCAACCUCGGCUGGUGGAAGGUGUCCCUGCUCAUGGCAAGGGGAUUGGAAUAGAUGAUCUUUAAGUCUCUUCCAACCCAAACCCUUCUGUGAUACUGCAGCCUGUUAUUAGAGCUCACCAGUGAGAGAGCGAAUCUGUACUGCUGUUUAAAGGGCUUUUAGGUGCGCUCCAAACAGGAGCUUCUUAAGCCACAUGUCCAAUGGAAGCACUCUUUACAUAAAAUACAAUUAAAUUAUAAAAGGUAA
Long non-coding RNA from Pseudopipra pipra, 2426 nucleotides. RefSeq lists it as uncharacterized. The transcript has 2 exons. Lineage: Eukaryota; Metazoa; Chordata; Aves; Passeriformes; Pipridae. The record is from RefSeq and is a predicted model, not a curated record.